AAUCAAAUCAUCGAUAGAUUAAAUGAUAGUCUUUUUUGUCAUUCAACAAGUUUACACUUAGUCUUAAUUUGAAUGUAUACAUUCUUAACAUAAUAAACUAAACUAUGCUUGAUUGACGGGUGACUAAUUUGACCAGUGUAUAUCUGCACAUGUCAGCGUCAUCCACCAUCUUUGUUUAUUUUAACGUGCCAGUUUUGUCGCGAUGAAAUUUCGUUAAUUUUAAUCUAUAAAUAAUCAUCAUGCUCCUGAGUAAUUCGGGAAACAGAAAGGCGCUACCGGAACAGGAGGAGCUGCAGCAUUUCAAAGAUACCAUUCUGAGAAGUCAGCAAUGCAGGUUGAAAAUGUAUUCACUGUGCAGUGAGUGCAGCCAGGCAGUGCAACAACUAAGGAUCUGAUAGAAUGAUCCGGGUCUAAGAACUUGACGGUGGGGGAGGAGAUUACGACUCCUCAGACGGGGAUAACGAUCAGGAAGUGAUUAGACCAGGGUCAACGAGAUAGCAGAGUUGAACGCAGAGCACCUGACGUCAGCGGCGAUUGUAAUGGUUCCGAUGAAAAUACGUUUUAGUAAGAUUCCCGAUUAUCACCAGGUGGAUCUGUGACGUUGAUCAUUUUGCUGGUGGGAGAUCCGCAAACAUCCGAUUUAAGAUUUGGUCAUUUUUAUUUUUACUGAGAAUAAAUUUAUAUUUAUCGAUAGGACCAUAUCCAUGGUCCAUGUAUUAUGUA
This 723-nucleotide long non-coding RNA is filed under the name Aedes aegypti (yellow fever mosquito). RNAcentral describes it as "lncRNA AAEL022559". Lineage: Eukaryota; Metazoa; Arthropoda; Insecta; Diptera; Culicidae. The record is from RNAcentral.